CUCUAAUAUUAUUCGAGAUUAUAUAUUUUACGGAAUAUAUACAGUGAAGUAUUAGAUAUUAAAGGGAUUUAUUCCUUCCUGUGAGUAGAUAUAAAACAGGUAAAAAUGUAUCAAUAGGCUAUGUGUUAGUAGGUACAAGUUACAGAACAUA
This 151-nucleotide non-coding RNA is filed under the name chicken gut metagenome. Its description in RNAcentral is "RT-14 RNA". It matches the Rfam family "RT-14 RNA". Rfam says of the family: Cloacimonetes, Firmicutes, Proteobacteria. Nearby to self-splicing intron genes The record is from RNAcentral.